This 67-nucleotide non-coding RNA is filed under the name uncultured Prevotella sp. The record is from RNAcentral. Lineage: Bacteria; Pseudomonadati; Bacteroidota; Bacteroidia; Bacteroidales; Prevotellaceae.
AACAACGAACUGCGAGAAGUCAGCAGAGGCCAUAGUACCUGUGGGAUUGAUACAUACAGGGAAGGGC